CUCCAACCGUUUCAAUCAAAGGGAAAAAGCACGAAAAUCCCCUUUCCCAGGUGACGAUUUAUGGUGGAGAGGAGAAGGGAGAAGAACCUUGAGCUAGAUCCUUGGUUUUGGAGAGAAUGGGAAUGGAGAUGGCGGUUUUUGGAGGGAGGAAGAUGAAGAGAUGAGUCGGCUCACGAACAGGAUCCCAAAUAAAAAGAAGGAGCCCGUGGGAAGUUUGAAGAAAUUACAAGUUUGCCAUGGGGUCGACUC
RNAcentral lists this long non-coding RNA (249 nucleotides) under Elaeis guineensis (African oil palm). Its description in RNAcentral is "long non-coding RNA (EGUI_LNC013267)". Lineage: Eukaryota; Viridiplantae; Streptophyta; Magnoliopsida; Arecales; Arecaceae. The record is from RNAcentral.